RNAcentral lists this ribosomal RNA (749 nucleotides) under uncultured bacterium. Its description in RNAcentral is "bacterial SSU rRNA". It matches the Rfam family "Bacterial small subunit ribosomal RNA", at positions 9 to 802 of the family's 1533-position model. The record is from RNAcentral.
GAGUUUGAUCCUGGCUCAGAGCGAACGCUGGCGGCAGGCUUAACACAUGCAAGUCGAGCGGGCGUAGCAAUACGUCAGCGGCAGACGGGUGAGUAACGCGUGGGAACGUACCUUUUGGUUCGGAACAACACAGGGAAACUUGUGCUAAUACCGGAUAAGCCCUUACGGGGAAAGAUUUAUCGCCGAAAGAUCGGCCCGCGUCUGAUUAGCUAGUUGGUGAGGUAACGGCUCACCAAGGCGACGAUCAGUAGCUGGUCUGAGAGGAUGAUCAGCCACAUUGGGACUGAGACACGGCCCAAACUCCUACGGGAGGCAGCAGUGGGGAAUAUUGGACAAUGGGCGCAAGCCUGAUCCAGCCAUGCCGCGUGAGUGAUGAAGGCCCUAGGGUUGUAAAGCUCUUUUGUGCGGGAAGAUAAUGACGGUACCGCAAGAAUAAGCCCCGGCUAACUUCGUGCCAGCAGCCGCGGUAAUACGAAGGGGGCUAGCGUUGCUCGGAAUCACUGGGCGUAAAGGGUGCGUAGGCGGGUCUUUAAGUCAGGGGUGAAAUCCUGGAGCUCAACUCCAGAACUGCCUUUGAUACUGAAGAUCUUGAGUUCGGGAGAGGUGAGUGGAACUGCGAGUGUAGAGGUGAAAUUCGUAGAUAUUCGCAAGAACACCAGUGGCGAAGGCGGCUCACUGGCCCGAUACUGACGCUGAGGCACGAAAGCGUGGGGAGCAAACAGGAUUAGAUACCCUGGUAGUCCACGCCG